UUGCGCAUUGCGAGCAUAGGUUAAAAGCUAUCUUUCUCUCUCGCACCCAACUUGGACACAGAUUUUUACAUGGAGAACAAUAGCAAUUCCCCUUCCAGUAAUAUAUGUUCUAAGGAUUAUACUGUGCUUUAGGGCCUGAGCAGAAUGGCUGACUUAUAACCUUAAAACACUGUUUUAUGCCCUAAGUCUUUGUCUUAGGUAACGCACAAUACUGUGUUAAUGUUUCCUGUCUUGUGUAGUAUACGCGACGUUUUAAGGAAUAAACGUAAAACGUAUAUUAAAAUGAUGUAUAGAAAUAAGCAAUUUUUAUUGCUUGUUUUACAAUGGAUGCUUUUGUAUAAAUUAUUAAAACGAAAAAAAAAAA
Non-coding RNA from Nylanderia fulva, 364 nucleotides. NCBI's taxonomy places the organism in Eukaryota, Metazoa, Arthropoda, Insecta, Hymenoptera, Formicidae. The record is from RefSeq and is a predicted model, not a curated record.